AUAAAGACUGGGAAAAGGAGUAGUAGUGAUUUUACCAAGUUUUAGAGAGGCGGCGGGUGCUGGAAGUCGUCCUUGGUCAUCACGAACUCGCCUUGGAUGUUGCAGGAGUGAACCUGAGUAGUUUCUGCCGGUGGAAGCACCGUUAUCAGCGAUCGAGAUGAACACGUGUCUGCGUGUUAAUUUGGGUGGUACCGCGGGAAUCAAACCUCUCGUCCCAUAU
RNAcentral lists this non-coding RNA (220 nucleotides) under Halobacillus sp. RNAcentral describes it as "T-box sequence". It matches the Rfam family "T-box leader". Rfam says of the family: Uncharged tRNA acts as the effector for transcription antitermination of genes in the T-box leader family. The record is from RNAcentral. Lineage: Bacteria; Bacillati; Bacillota; Bacilli; Caryophanales; Bacillaceae.